GUGUCAGCCGCCGCGGUAAUACGGAAGGUGCAAGCGUUAAUCGGAAUUACUGGGCGUAAAGCGCGCGUAGGCGGCUUCGUAAGUCGGGUGUGAAAGCCCCGGGCUCAACCUGGGAACUGCACUCGAUACUGCGGAGCUUGAGUGCAGGAGAGGAACGCGGAAUUCCAGGUGUAGCGGUGAAAUGCGUAGAUAUCCGGAGGAACACCGGUGGCGAAGGCGGCUUCCUGGACCGACACUGACGCUGAUGCGCGAAAGCUAGGGGAGCAAACGGGAUUAGAUACCCCCGUAGUCC
This 292-nucleotide ribosomal RNA is filed under the name uncultured bacterium. Its description in RNAcentral is "partial 16S ribosomal RNA". It matches the Rfam family "Bacterial small subunit ribosomal RNA", at positions 505 to 796 of the family's 1533-position model. The record is from RNAcentral.